Long non-coding RNA from Homo sapiens (human), 1895 nucleotides. Ensembl annotates it as ribosomal protein L13a pseudogene 17. Its record names the gene RPL13AP17. Lineage: Eukaryota; Metazoa; Chordata; Mammalia; Primates; Hominidae. The record is from Ensembl.
UCUUUUGGAUAUACAAUUUCACAUUGGCAUGUGCACACACACUUAUUGUGUGUAUACACCCUGCACGUCCCCAACAUAAACCACUUACAGCUUCAGAAAGGAAAGGAGACAGAAGCAGCAACAUCUCAACAACCAAUUUCCAAUACUAUGAAUCAGAUCAUUUCAAAGCAGUUCCCAGAAACAUGAUACCCAGGGAGAACCCAACAAUGAAGUUAUGGUUGUUAUUUUUUUGAGAAGGGAAAGACUACUGAUGAGAGAUGCUUCCAAAUUAAAAGUGGCAAAGGACUCAGGAUAUUUAAGGAUGAGAUUCCAUUGCCUGAUCUCUUUGUCUUUACAUUCACUUAUCUGCAGUCUGACUCUCUCCUCUCACCAUGGAAUGGAAACUUAGACCUUGGGAAGACUUCAUAAUUUUUUCUCUACUGUCAUGUUUGAAUAAAUGGAAUAAAAACAACUUCAUGCUUUGGAAACUGGGAGGAAAAUAACCCUAGAAGGAUCUUCUGGAGCCAACCCUCUUCAAAGAAGACAGGAUAGUAUAAUUAUGAACUCAGUCUCUGUAGUCAUGAUGCUCACAUCCAAGCCCCUGCACAUCCUAGGAAGAUUCAUCACUAAGCCAUUACUCUUCACUAAUUCCAUGGAAAACUUCGAACUAACUCCUAGCAGACAUGGCCGUGUGCACCAUCAAUCAUGUCAUGAAGCACCCAGGACCUACAAGGUGGCUGCUGAAGACAGCAGAAAGACAGAACCUGGUGCUCAGUGGCCAAGGCCAUCUUGUGGGCCACCCGGCAGCCAUCUUGGCCAAGUGGGUUCUGCUGGGAAGGAAACUGGUGGUUGAGCACCACGAGGGCAUCAACAUUUCUGGCAAUUUCUGGAGAAACAAAUUAAAGUAUCUGGCCUUCCUCUGCAAGCAGAUGAGCACCAACCCUUCCCAAGGCCCACCCGCCCCGCCAUUCCUGGGCCCCCAGCGCAUCUUUUGGUGGCCUUGCAGAACCAAGUGGGGCCAGGCUGCCCUGGACCACCUUAUGGUGUUUUAUGGGAUCUCACUGCCCUAUGACAAGGUGGUUCCUGCUGCCCUUUAGGUUGUACGACUGAAGCCUACAAGAAAGUUUGCCUCCUUGGGGUGCCUGGCUCACGAGGUUGGCUGGAAAUACCAGGUAGUGACAGCCACCAUGGGGGAGAAGAGGAAGGAGAAGGCCAAGAUGCACUACAGGAAGAAAAAGCAGCUCAUGCGGCUGCAGAAACAGGCCACAAAGAACGUGGAGAAGACAAAUGACAAAUACACAGAGGUCCUAAGACCGAGGGACUCCCUGUUUGAGACCAGAAAAGACUGUUUAUUCCUCAUGCUUGGCCUGGCCUACCCUUCUGCCAUUGCGACCUUGGGAUAUGGGGGAGCCUACCCUUCCUGCAUCACCGCCCUGGGAUGUGGGGGAUCCAAGGGCAGCAAUAUAGGUGCCAUGGGCAGCCUGGGACUUAAGCUGGGGGCAAGGGAAGGGCCUUAGUCACUGCCUUUCUAUAAGGUUAUUUUAAACAGCUCUAAGAUUUGUACAGGAAUAAUUUGUCUAUGACCUACUUGUUCAGGACAGAGUUUUAGAAAACCAAUAGAGCAACCAGUUACUUUGGUUUUAAUAUUGGCAAAAGGGACCUGGAACAUUAAUUGGAGGGAGCCCCGCCUCGUGAAAGGGGCAUCUCUUUUUAACUCCCACCUUCUCGUGCUAUACUCUGUGGCUGUUAUAAUAUGAAAAAGUGCUUAGGGACAGCAUGAUCUUACUGUUAUUCAAAGGAUAUUAUAGAGAAGCUUAGACUAGGAAGAUGUGUGACCAAGAGGUGGCAGGGGUCGCCCUUGCUCCUUCCCUGUAUUUUGUGACCAGAAUGAAAUAAAUUACUUUCAAAGAAAAAAA